GUAGGGUAUGGAGAUAUCAGACCAGACACGACAGUUGGGAAAAUUGUGGCCUUUUUGUGCAUUUUAUCUGGAAUUUUAGUUUUAGCCUUACCGAUUGCCAUUAUAAAUGAUCGAU
Pelobates cultripes (western spadefoot toad) is the source of this 115-nucleotide non-coding RNA. The record is from the annotation of a GenBank genome assembly. Lineage: Eukaryota; Metazoa; Chordata; Amphibia; Anura; Pelobatidae.